Molecule: long non-coding RNA, 443 nt
Organism: Paralichthys olivaceus (Japanese flounder)
Lineage: Eukaryota; Metazoa; Chordata; Actinopteri; Pleuronectiformes; Paralichthyidae
Source: RefSeq, a predicted model, not a curated record
UGUGCUAACAGCUCAUGUGCUGCACCAGGCCUGGAGCAGGUGAUGUCUGUGGUCUGACACUGGAAGUGAAGAGCAUGCCUCAGUGACUGGGAUGAAGACUUAAGUGCAGAGGAAGACUAAACACUGCUGAGAGAAUCUACAUGGUUCCAGUUACUCUUCAGUGAUGUUCUCCAUGACCACCAUCUAAAACUGCUGUCCAUGGCCAUGUGGGUAGUCCAGAGGUGUUCAGACCCUGCAGCUGCUACAGAUGAUUAGAUCUCGCCCACUACUGACCUCUUUCCAAAGAUCAGGUUGACGCUCCAUACCAACGCACCAUUCAUUAUUGUGAUGCAACAAACAUGGAAAAAGAGGAACUCAAGGUCACAUUUCAUCAAUUGCUGUUGUGUGCCAAAGCAUAUUUCUUCCUUAAAACACCUUGACAUUUCUGUUAUAGAGCAUUUUUA